This 29-nucleotide small RNA is filed under the name Bombyx mori (domestic silkworm). RNAcentral's name for it is "ovarian small RNA-4752". Lineage: Eukaryota; Metazoa; Arthropoda; Insecta; Lepidoptera; Bombycidae. The record is from RNAcentral.
CCACAUGUGACAUUCUUCCACUGCGUAAA